RNAcentral lists this unclassified non-coding RNA (210 nucleotides) under soil metagenome. RNAcentral describes it as "partial contains 5.8S ribosomal RNA, internal transcribed spacer 2, and large subunit ribosomal RNA". The record is from RNAcentral.
AACGGUCUAUACCUGCGGUACCUGCGGAAGGAUCAUUACAUGAUUUGAGGGGGCUCGCGUCCCCUCAUCCAACCCACAAACCCCGAGGAAACUUUAUGUCGAGUGGUUCGGCGCUCUCUUUGAGAGCCGCCCCUCAAACGCAUCGCAGGCUUUUCGUGAGGGUCUGAUGUGUCACAUCGUGAGUAUCAAAACUUUUAACAACGGAUCUCU